This 253-nucleotide ribosomal RNA is filed under the name uncultured bacterium. Its description in RNAcentral is "partial 16S ribosomal RNA". It matches the Rfam family "Bacterial small subunit ribosomal RNA", at positions 524 to 776 of the family's 1533-position model. The record is from RNAcentral.
UACGAAGGGGGCUAGCGUUGUUCGGAUUUACUGGGCGUAAAGGGCGCGUAGGCGGAUUUUUACGUCAGGGGUGAAAUCCCAAGGCUCAACCUUGGAACUGCCUUUGAUACUGGGAAUCUUGAGUCCGGGAGAGGUGAGUGGAACUGCGAGUGUAGAGGUGAAAUUCGUAGAUAUUCGCAAGAACACCAGUGGCGAAGGCGGCUCACUGGCCCGGAACUGACGCUGAGGCGCGAAAGCGUGGGGAGCAAACAGG